RNAcentral lists this ribosomal RNA (357 nucleotides) under uncultured Latescibacterota bacterium. Its description in RNAcentral is "bacterial SSU rRNA". It matches the Rfam family "Bacterial small subunit ribosomal RNA", at positions 1025 to 1382 of the family's 1533-position model. Lineage: Bacteria; Pseudomonadati; Candidatus Latescibacterota. The record is from RNAcentral.
GGCACCUGCACAGGUGCUGCAUGGCUGUCGUCAGCUCGUGUCGUGAGAUGUUGGGUUAAGUCCGCAACGAGCGCAACCCUUAUCCCUAGUUGCCAUCAGGUAAAGCUGGGAACUCUGGGGAGACUGCCGGUGAUAAACCGGAGGAAGGCGGGGAUGACGUCAAGUCCUCAUGGCCCUUACAUCCCGGGCUACACACGUGCUACAAUGGCAGGUACAGAGGGCUGCGAAGCCGCGAGGUGGAGCGAAUCCCAGAAAACCUGUCUCAGUCCGGAUUGAAGUCUGCAACUCGACUUCAUGAAGGCGGAAUCGCUAGUAACCGCGAAUCAGCAGGUCGCGGUGAAUACGUUCCCGGGCCUU